Podarcis lilfordi (Lilford's wall lizard) is the source of this 75-nucleotide non-coding RNA. NCBI's taxonomy places the organism in Eukaryota, Metazoa, Chordata, Lepidosauria, Squamata, Lacertidae. The record is from the annotation of a GenBank genome assembly.
AUGCCCAUAGUUCAGUUGGUAGAGCAUGGGACUCCUAAUCUUAAGGUUGUAGGUUCGAGCACCAAGUUGGGUGAA